Molecule: long non-coding RNA, 2496 nt
Filed under: Mytilus galloprovincialis (Mediterranean mussel)
Lineage: Eukaryota; Metazoa; Mollusca; Bivalvia; Mytilida; Mytilidae
Source: RNAcentral
CGUUUGUCAAUUUUCCCAAAUUCCAUCCCACAUCACAAAAGGAGUUACAGAAGAAUGUCAACCCCUCAGUAGAGUAAUUUGAUUCUGAAUCAUGGGAAAAAAUGCAAAAUAAGUGAAUGACUUAAUAGAAAUAAAUGAUAAUCAUGGCAGUCAUAUGAUAUUAUAUAAAUAUUGCUUAUUUAAUAUCAAUUCUUUUUGUUCUUUCUUCUUCACUUUUUUUUGGUCAUUAUUCUCUAUACAAUGUAUAUCCCCAUUAUUGAUUCCAGACUCAUAAUCAAUGCUCAUAUAUCCAUCCGUAAACCAAACUAGAAAACUACGUAAACGGAUUUGCACGUUGAACACGAAAACCCGGAAACUUUUCACCGUUGCCAUUUUUUAUACUAUGACGCAAAAACCAUGGACGCUCGUGCGUCUGCUGAUUUGAUUUUUUUUACCGUAUUUUAAAAAGAUUAGACAGAGACAGCCAGAAAGAUAAUACAAGACACUGUAUUUAUUCAAACUGAGAGGUCAAAAAUUUAGUAUGAAUGUAUUAUUAAUUGUUGAUUAACUGGAAAAAACCGGCGAACAAAAAAUUGAAAUGAACAUGAUGAAAGUCAAACCAACCGGAACAUUGACGGAUUUAUGUACCCACUAUUUUGUACUUGGAAAGCGCAACGAAAGGUAAAUAUUAUCUUACACAUGUUUUAAAUGGAUAAAAGCAGAUGCUAGUGCUAUAGUUUACAGUCUUUUGACUUUAUACCGGCGUACAACAUGUCAAAUGUUAUCAUGGUUAUGACUUAUGCAUGCACAGGGGUUUCUGUUUGUUACAAUUUGCCGGGUUCACUAUCAAUUACGAACCCCGAAAAAUUGGGGUUGCAUAGUAAACACGGCAAAGUGUAACAAACCCCUGUGAUGCAUGUAAACCCUUUAAUCAGUCCAAGAACGGAAGCAAGACAACUCGACCUGCCGACAAAUCUCCCCACUUUUUCACCAACUCGCCCCACUUUUAACAGUUUAAAAAAAUCCCCCCACUAAAUGAAAAGUGUUUAAUCCUGUCAAAUAUACUCCUGCCAAAUCCCCACUUGUGAAAAUGAGUAAAAUCCAGAUUAAUAUUAAAAAAAAGUCAAAAGAACACUGUUCAUGCUGUUAAACCCUGUUAAAUGGGUAACAAUGUUGGGUCAAGUAGGAUAAACGGUACUAUAGUUCCUUCGGAAGAACAGAGUAAUAAAUCGGUUUAACCUUAUUAGUAAAUCGGUUUAUAUGAACAUAAAUUGACAGACUGACAGGUCGACAGGUUGACACUAUAAAGGUCGACAAGUUUAAAAGUUGACAGGUUGACAAGUGUUAAGUUGACAGGUUGACAAAUGUUAAGGUCGACAAGUUGACAGGUUGACAAAUGUUAAGGUAGACAGGUAGACAGGUCGAAGGGUUUAAUUUUACAAUUAAACAAGUAAAUAAAAGUACAUCAUCCAUUAAGUAAAAUAAAAUUAACUUCAGUUUUUAACCUUUUUUACAAGUAUUGACUUAUAACUUUUAUAUCUGUUCGCUGUCAAUCUGUUUACCAUUUGCACAUUUAACAUUUCUCAAAAUGAAAUUGUCAACCUGUCGACUUGUCGAUCUGUCUACCUGUCAACUUGUCAACCAUAAUUUACUUGUUAUUAUAUUAAAUUAUCAACUUAUCAACCUGUCAACCUGUCGACUUGUCAACCUGUCAACCACUUAUUUCAACCAUAACAUUUUUAAAAUUGUCAACCUGUCGACUUGUCAACCUGUCAACCACUUAUCCCAACUAUAACGUUUUUAAAAUUGUCAACCUGUCGACUGUCAACCUGUAAAUCACUCAUUUAUUUCAGUUUAAUGUAAAAUUUAAACAGUUGUAACUUUAUUACCCAUGAAUACAUACGCGUAUGAAUUUUUUGCAAAAGCCGGAUCUAUAGUACCGUAUAUCCUACUUGAGCCACAAUGUUAUAAAGGUCAGCCAAAAUAUGAAGACUGAAGUAUAGAAAAUACAGAAAAAAAUAUAUUAUUGUGAAAGAGCACAAAAUAAAGAAAUUCAUUGGCGCCAUAUUUUUUUAAAUCUGAGUUGACUGGUUCAAAAGAUUUAAAAAAAUUGUCCAAGACAAAAAUACUAUAUUUUGGGGCUAAUUUUUAGGCCAAAAUGAAAUAUAACAAAAGGUAAUGACAAAAAUGUAGGAACAGCAAGCAAUUAAUAUAAAUCUUUGUAAAAAAACCACAUUGGGAUUCUUUUUUGCUAUUUGUCAACCUUGGGCAUCUUUGAAUAAAUGCUUACAUGUAUGUUUAAACAUUCAUACCUUAAUAUGGAAAUUUAAAGCAGGCAGAGGUUUAAAUAUAUUAACAUGAUUAACAAAUGUAAUGCCAAAAUAUCUCAUUUUUUUUAUAGCAACUCAAAAUCAUGCUGUCAGGCUAUAUGUGUUGUACAUGGGAAGUGGACCCCUGGAGGAGAUGAAAGGUCUAUUUAAUAGUAUGUAAUGUAAAUAUAUAAAUAAGAAAAGGUGG